UACGAAGGGGGCUAGCGUUGCUCGGAAUCACUGGGCGUAAAGGGCGCGUAGGCGGCUGUUCAAGUCGGGGGUGAAAGCCUGUGGCUCAACCACAGAAUUGCCUUCGAUACUGGACGGCUCGAGACCGGAAGAGGUCAGUGGAACUGCGAGUGUAGAGGUGAAAUUCGUAGAUAUUCGCAAGAACACCAGUGGCGAAGGCGGCUGACUGGUCCGGUUCUGACGCUGAGGCGCGAAAGCGUGGGGAGCAAACAGG
This 253-nucleotide ribosomal RNA is filed under the name uncultured bacterium. Its description in RNAcentral is "partial 16S ribosomal RNA". It matches the Rfam family "Bacterial small subunit ribosomal RNA", at positions 524 to 776 of the family's 1533-position model. The record is from RNAcentral.